RNAcentral lists this ribosomal RNA (303 nucleotides) under Triticum aestivum (bread wheat). Its description in RNAcentral is "partial small subunit ribosomal RNA". The record is from RNAcentral. Lineage: Eukaryota; Viridiplantae; Streptophyta; Magnoliopsida; Poales; Poaceae.
AUGCAUUCUUGGUUGAAGUUGAAUGGACAACCCACGUGGAAUGUAUUCAUUGCCAACUCCGCCAAGACCACUAACAUGGGCACCAAGGAAGAAACAGGCGAUCCAACCGACCCAGCAAAAGAGUCGACAAUAAAGGUUAGAGGAGGGUUUCGGAGAAAGAAAUGGGAGAAGGAGAAGGCCAAGCGAGAAGGGGUGGCGGCCAAGAUGACAAAGAGGUUUGAGAAAGUCUGUACCAAGAAGAAGCCAUGUGCCAAGUGCUCCGACAUCAAGAAGGCAUGUAAGGCUGAGAGGUUAACAUGUUGA